CGUAAACUCAUGAAAACGGAUUUGAAGUACCGUGACACAUAACCGAAGAGCUUUAAUUUCCGGAUCGCAAAUCGGAGAUCAUUUGGAUGGUCGCGCGCGAGAGUUCGAGCCAAACCGGGUCGCGGGUGUCGCGGGCGGCCGAUUGCAAGUGACUACAAGCAAUCGGAGAGUAAGUUAAGGUUCGCACGUGAGCGGCGCGGCGGCGCGAGGAAAGGGCGUAGCUCCAUAGAUAGCGCCCUACCCAGAGACCAGAGAUAGCAAUACUCCGUCGACAUAGCCUAGGGGUUUGGAAAAUAAAAAGAAUACAAUGUAUCAAUUUGUAAUAAGCAAAUGAUGUAAUAACUUAACUGCAUUUGGGAGUUGGAUGUAAAGUAAAUGUAUUAUUGUGAAUGCAUGUAAUAACAUAGGAUGUGUUAUGUUGUGAUA
Ananas comosus (pineapple) is the source of this 426-nucleotide long non-coding RNA. RefSeq lists it as uncharacterized. The record is from RefSeq and is a predicted model, not a curated record. The transcript has 2 exons. NCBI's taxonomy places the organism in Eukaryota, Viridiplantae, Streptophyta, Magnoliopsida, Poales, Bromeliaceae.